RNAcentral lists this ribosomal RNA (520 nucleotides) under bacterium btn 11b-3. RNAcentral describes it as "bacterial SSU rRNA". It matches the Rfam family "Bacterial small subunit ribosomal RNA", at positions 335 to 848 of the family's 1533-position model. The record is from RNAcentral.
ACUCCUACGGGAGGCAGCAGUGGGGAAUUUUGGACAAUGGGCGAAAGCCUGAUCCAGCAAUGCCGCGUGCAGGAUGAAGGCCUUCGGGUUGUAAACUGCUUUUGUACGGAACGAAAAGCUUCGGGUUAAUACCCUGGAGUCAUGACGGUACCGUAAGAAUAAGCACCGGCUAACUACGUGCCAGCAGCCGCGGUAAUACGUAGGGUGCAAGCGUUAAUCGGAAUUACUGGGCGUAAAGCGUGCGCAGGCGGUUUUGUAAGACAGAGGUGAAAUCCCCGGGCUCAACCUGGGAACUGCCUUUGUGACUGCAAGGCUAGAGUACGGCAGAGGGGGAUGGAAUUCCGCGUGUAGCAGUGAAAUGCGUAGAUAUGCGGAGGAACACCGAUGGCGAAGGCAAUCCCCUGGGCCUGUACUGACGCUCAUGCACGAAAGCGUGGGGAGCAAACAGGAUUAGAUACCCUGGUAGUCCACGCCCUAAACGAUGUCAACUGGUUGUUGGGUCUUCAUUGACUCAGUAACG